RNAcentral lists this ribosomal RNA (742 nucleotides) under Enterococcus faecium. RNAcentral describes it as "bacterial SSU rRNA". It matches the Rfam family "Bacterial small subunit ribosomal RNA", at positions 69 to 783 of the family's 1533-position model. The record is from RNAcentral. Lineage: Bacteria; Bacillati; Bacillota; Bacilli; Lactobacillales; Enterococcaceae.
UUCUUUUUCCACCGGAGCUUGCUCCACCGGAAAAAGAGGAGUGGCGAACGGGUGAGUAACACGUGGGUAACCUGCCCAUCAGAAGGGGAUAACACUUGGAAACAGGUGCUAAUACCGUAUAACAAUCAAAACCGCAUGGUUUUGAUUUGAAAGGCGCUUUCGGGUGUCGCUGAUGGAUGGACCCGCGGUGCAUUAGCUAGUUGGUGAGGUAACGGCUCACCAAGGCCACGAUGCAUAGCCGACCUGAGAGGGUGAUCGGCCACAUUGGGACUGAGACACGGCCCAAACUCCUACGGGAGGCAGCAGUAGGGAAUCUUCGGCAAUGGACGAAAGUCUGACCGAGCAACGCCGCGUGAGUGAAGAAGGUUUUCGGAUCGUAAAACUCUGUUGUUAGAGAAGAACAAGGAUGAGAGUAACUGUUCAUCCCUUGACGGUAUCUAACCAGAAAGCCACGGCUAACUACGUGCCAGCAGCCGCGGUAAUACGUAGGUGGCAAGCGUUGUCCGGAUUUAUUGGGCGUAAAGCGAGCGCAGGCGGUUUCUUAAGUCUGAUGUGAAAGCCCCCGGCUCAACCGGGGAGGGUCAUUGGAAACUGGGAGACUUGAGUGCAGAAGAGGAGAGUGGAAUUCCAUGUGUAGCGGUGAAAUGCGUAGAUAUAUGGAGGAACACCAGUGGCGAAGGCGGCUCUCUGGUCUGUAACUGACGCUGAGGCUCGAAAGCGUGGGGAGCAAACAGGAUUAGAU